GUGCAUAUGAUGGAAAAACUUGAACUUCCUGAGGCUUGUGAUGUCUUCAAAGGAACCACUGAUGCAC
The sequence is a small nucleolar RNA, 67 nucleotides long. Its record names the gene SNORD42. It matches the Rfam family "Small nucleolar RNA SNORD42". Rfam says of the family: snoRNA U42 is found in intron 3 of the ribosomal protein L23a (RPL23a) gene in humans and is also present in mice. The record is from Ensembl.